Molecule: small nuclear RNA, 162 nt
Filed under: Pogona vitticeps (central bearded dragon)
Lineage: Eukaryota; Metazoa; Chordata; Lepidosauria; Squamata; Agamidae
Description: U1 spliceosomal RNA (ENSPVIG00000007103.1)
Rfam family: U1 spliceosomal RNA
About the family: U1 is a small nuclear RNA (snRNA) component of the spliceosome (involved in pre-mRNA splicing). Its 5' end forms complementary base pairs with the 5' splice junction, thus defining the 5' donor site of an intron. There are significant differences in sequence and secondary structure between metazoan and yeast U1 snRNAs, the latter being much longer (568 nucleotides as compared to 164 nucleotides in human).
Source: Rfam by way of RNAcentral
AUACUUACCCGGCAGGGGAGAUACCAUGAUCAUGAAGGUGGUUUUUCCAGGGUGAGGCUCAUCCAUUGCACUUUGGGUGUGCUGAUCCCUGUGAUCCCCAAAUGUGGGAAACUCAACUGCAUAAUUUGUGGUAGUGGGGGACUGCGUUUGCGCUUUCCUCUG